AGAGUUUGAUCAUGGCUCAGGAUGAACGCUAGCUACAGGCUUAACACAUGCAAGUCGAGGGGAAACGACAUCGAAAGCUUGCUUUUGAUGGGCGUCGACCGGCGCACGGGUGAGUAACGCGUAUCCAACCUGCCCAUCACUUGGGGAUAACCUUGCGAAAGUAAGACUAAUACCCAAUGAUAUCUCUAGAAGACAUCUGAAAGAGAUUAAAGAUUUAUCGGUGAUGGAUGGGGAUGCGUCUGAUUAGCUUGGUUGGCGGGGUAACGGCCACCAAGGCUACGAUCAGUAGGGGUUCUGAGAGGAAGGUCCCCCANAUUGGAGCUGAGACACCGGUCCAAACUCCUACGGGAGGCA
This 354-nucleotide ribosomal RNA is filed under the name uncultured bacterium. RNAcentral describes it as "bacterial SSU rRNA". It matches the Rfam family "Bacterial small subunit ribosomal RNA", at positions 8 to 350 of the family's 1533-position model. The record is from RNAcentral.